Molecule: long non-coding RNA, 1169 nt
Organism: Macrobrachium nipponense
Lineage: Eukaryota; Metazoa; Arthropoda; Malacostraca; Decapoda; Palaemonidae
Exons: 2
Source: RefSeq, a predicted model, not a curated record
AAGUGUUGUUCAUCAAGAGUCGAUCGUCCAGUAUUCUGGGGGUUUUCAAAAAUGAAUCUGUUAUUGUUAGGAGUGAUAUUGUGUAUUCAGACAUCUUUGUUGUAUGGAAAGAGCGCUAGGACUAAAGACAUAGAAUUUAAUCAUGGCUCGAUUAUCGAGAGAAUCGAUGAUGUAUUCAUCGUGUCAAGUAAUAUUGUUAUCGAAGUAGAUAUGCAUGCUAUUUUCUUACCUGAAGAUGACGUCCUUAACUUAAAGAAUGACCUGAUGAGGUUUGGUAUUUCCCUUAAGGAAAUGCAUGAACGUAAUUUUCAUGCUAACUCAGAGAUUUCACUAGCUCAAACGCUAAGCGUCGCGGAAAUGUUGUCUUAUGACAUACAAAAUAAAACCGCCGAGGCAGAAGAACUCGCUCGUGCGACCUGCUGAUGUGGUCUGUGCGGCACAAUACUCUUGAACGCCGCAACCCGCUUAUUCUAGCUGGACUAAACAUCUUAGGAUCAGUUGCGAAUCUAGGCUUAGGAAUCUCAAAUCGCCUCAAGAUAAAUAUCAAAAUAAAAGAAUUGAGUUUUUGCAACACAAAACGGAACUGGCCUUAUCAGAACUUCGCAGCCAGUUAUCUUCGAUCAAUCAAAUAAUGAAUAUCGUUAAUGAACAUUCAAAUAAUAUCGAUCAGGUCAUGGAAGUUCAACAUUUGCUGGCUACUUUAGCUUACUAUAGUUCGAAAAUAGAUCAUAUCCGUGUGAAAAUAUCACAUUUUAUUGAAAGGUCAAAAGAUUACGUAGAAGCAAUUACGUUAGCAACAAAGGGUGUGUUAUCUCCUCACCUCAUGCCUAUUAAAGAUCUGACGUUAACUUUAGAAAACGGAAACGGGAGAAGCUAGGUUAUAUUCCUUUAUUAGAUGCCCAUAAAGUAGAAUUCUAUUAUAGCCUAAUAUCAGUCAGCGUUGAAAAUUAUAGAAUUAUGAUCACAAUUCCUUUUGAUUCUUCCGAUGCUUGGCAAUCAUACAAAAUAGCACCGUUUCCUACUUUUAUGACGAAUAACUCAAAUCCAGUAAUAUCCAAUUUAACGGGGCAUGUACUGAUUUCUUCUGAUAAGAAAUCAUUUACAGUCAUUAAAGACUUAGAUAAACUCACUCACUGUUCAGAAGCCAUGAAUAAUAAAAUUUGUACAGC